This 492-nucleotide ribosomal RNA is filed under the name uncultured bacterium. RNAcentral's name for it is "partial 16S ribosomal RNA". It matches the Rfam family "Bacterial small subunit ribosomal RNA", at positions 28 to 507 of the family's 1533-position model. The record is from RNAcentral.
GACGAACGCUGGCGGCGUGCUUAACACAUGCAAGUCGAACGGAAAGGCCCCCACUUUUUUGGUGGGGGUGCUCGAGUGGCGAACGGGUGAGUAACACGUGGGUGAUCUGCCCUGUACUUCGGGAUAAGCUUGGGAAACUGGGUCUAAUACCGGAUAGGACCAUGGUUUAGUGUCUCAUGGUGGAAAAAUUAUUGUUUUGGUGCAGGAUGAGCUCGCGGCCUAUCAGCUUGUUGGUGGGGUAAUGGCCUACCAAGGCGUCGACGGGUAGCCGGCCUGAGAGGGUGGACGGCCACAUUGGGACUGAGAUACGGCCCAGACUCCGACGGGAGGCAGCAGUGGGGAAUAUUGCACAAUGGGCGCAAGCCUGAUGCAGCGACGCCGCGUGGGGGAUGACGGCCGUCGGGUUGUAAACUCCUUUCGUUAGGGACGAAGCCGCACCUUUUUUGGGUGUGGUGACGGUACCUUUGUUAAGAAGCACCGGCUAACUACGUG